This 468-nucleotide ribosomal RNA is filed under the name uncultured bacterium. RNAcentral's name for it is "partial 16S ribosomal RNA". It matches the Rfam family "Bacterial small subunit ribosomal RNA", at positions 28 to 507 of the family's 1533-position model. The record is from RNAcentral.
GACGAACGCUGGCGGCGUGCUUAACACAUGCAAGUCGAACGGAAAGGCCCUGCUUUUGUGGGGUGCUCGAGUGGCGAACGGGUGAGUAACACGUGAGUAACCUGCCCUUGACUUUGGGAUAACUUCAGGAAACUGGGGCUAAUACCGGAUAGGAUCUCCUGCUGCAUGGUGGGGGUUGGAAAGUUUCGGCGGUUGGGGAUGGACUCGCGGCUUAUCAGCUUGUUGGUGGGGUAGUGGCUUACCAAGGCUUUGACGGGUAGCCGGCCUGAGAGGGUGACCGGGCACAUUGGGACUGAGAUAGGGCGCAGACUCCAACGGGAGGCAGCAGGGGGAAAUAUUGCACAAUGGGCGGAAGCCUGAUGCGGCAACGCCGCGUGCGGGAUGACGGCUUUCGGGUUGUAAACCGCUUUCGCCUGAGACGAAGCGUGAGUGACGGUAAUGGGUAAAGAAGCACCGGCUAACUACGUG